This 212-nucleotide ribosomal RNA is filed under the name uncultured bacterium. RNAcentral's name for it is "partial 16S ribosomal RNA". It matches the Rfam family "Bacterial small subunit ribosomal RNA", at positions 1289 to 1500 of the family's 1533-position model. The record is from RNAcentral.
CAGUUCGGACUGUGGCCUGCAACCCGACCACACGAAGCUGGAAUCGCUAGUAAUCGCGAAUCAGAAUGUCGCGGUGAAUACGUUCCCGGGUCUUGUACACACCGCCCGUCACACCAUGGGAGCCAGCAACGCCCGAAGUCAGUGACCUAACCGAAAGGGAGGAGCUGCCGAAGGCGGGGCCGGUAACUGGGGUGAAGUCGUAACAAGGUAUC